ACAUCCAGAGAAUUUAGCAGAGAUGCUUUAGUGCCUUCGGGAACUCUGAGACAGGUGCUGCAUGGCUGUCGUCAGCUCGUGUUGUGAAAUGUUGGGUUAAGUCCCGCAACGAGCGCAACCCUUAUCCUUUGUUGCCAGCACGUAAUGGUGGGAACUCAAAGGAGACUGCCGGUGAUAAACCGGAGGAAGGUGGGGAUGACGUCAAGUCAUCAUGGCCCUUACGAGUAGGGCUACACACGUGCUACAAUGGCGCAUACAAAGAGAGAAACGACCUCGCGAGAGCAAGCGGACCUCAUAAAGUGCGUCGUAGUCCGGAUUGGAGUCUGCAACUCGACUCCAUGAAGUCGGAAUCGCUAGUAAUCGUAAAUCAGAAUGUUACGGUGAAUACGUUCCCGGGCCUUGUACACACCGCCCGUCACACCAUGGGAGUGGGUUGCAAAAGAAGUAGAUAGCUUAACCUUCGGGAGGGCGUUUACCACUUUGUGAUUCAUGACUGGGGUGAAGUCGUAACAAGGUAAGCGUAGUGCU
Molecule: ribosomal RNA, 528 nt
Filed under: uncultured bacterium
Lineage: Bacteria
Description: bacterial SSU rRNA
Rfam family: Bacterial small subunit ribosomal RNA
Source: RNAcentral